UUUCUCAUUAAUUAAAUCAUUUAUUUGUGUGGAAUGGGAAGAAAUCCAUGUGUUGGCAAGUGAAAUUGAAUUAGCACAAAUACACACUAUACAUAUAUAUACACAUAUAAAGAAAUAUAUGUAUAUAUAUUUAUUUUUUUUCUUUCAGACAAAAAGAAAUACAGUAAGAAGGAAACAGUAACGCAUUAAUUGCAGACAUGAGCAUCUUUAGUGCUAGCCAGAUAGAACUGCUUUCUUAUGAAUAUAUUUACAGAAUAUAUUAAAGUCCCUCCAUUUGGAAUCUACACUUAUAUACACAGUCCCUGCUGUAGUAUCACAGUACAUUGAAAUAUAAUAAUACACAUAAUGGUGAAUACUAUAUAUAUAUCAUAUCAUUUAAUGGGUUCAUGUGAAACAUUCAAGAAGUUUAUUCAGUUUGAUAACUGACUUUAUGUUAAAUUAGCCAAGAAAUAAAAAAAAUUAAAAAAAACACAACUUUGGCUAAACUUGAAGAUUUGUUUUCCAACUUGGCUAGUUUGGGCAAAACUUCACAAUUCAGUUGUUAACGUACGGCCAAGAGAAUAAUGCCAUAAACAUGCAUCAUAUUAUGCACCAAGUAAAAAGGAAUUGAAUUUUGUAUAAUUCCAUCCACACCAUUCAGAUUGCAUUAAAUUGCACAAAAUUUUCUGUCUUUAACAAAAUCAAAUAAAAGUCGCUGCCUAAGACAGACAGGAUUUGGUUUAGUUAAACAAAUUCAGAAUUUUUGUAAAUUAAAAAAAAUUAAAAAAAAUAACAUUUUAAAUAACCAAAAAAAUAUUUACUAGUCAGUAUGCCAUUUCAAAGCUAGGGGGUCUUUACCGGCUAAUUUUUGCAUCACAUUUAAUCAUUAUGUUACGGCCAAGACUUCCAAUUACAUGAAUAUUUACUUAUAAAUAAAGUGAUUAACAAAUUAAAUUCUAAUCUUACAGUACGGAAUUGUUUUUCAAAUAUAUGUUCAGGAAAGGUCUGGUUGGUCUAUACAACAAAUGUUUCAUGUUUGCAAAUGCUGAAUCAUUUUAAUUACAAAAUAUUCGCCAAUUUUACAAGUACAAACGUGUAAUGUCAGAAAAAAAAAAAAAAAAAAAUUUGGAUAUUUGUUUUCCAACUCUGCUAGUUUUGGCUAAAGUUAAAAAAAUAUUGCAAUAUUAAACCAUUGUUGAUAUUGUUUGGGGUGAUGCGUGUUGGAAGUAAAAAUAAAUAAAUAAUGGUGGUUUUAGUUUGCCAAACCUCUGUAUGCAUUAAAAAAAAAAAAAAAAUUAUAUUAUUCUGCCUAUAAGGUUACAUCAAUAUAAAUCCCUAAAUAAAUACCAUUAGGCAAUAGUUUUUACAUAGGAAAAAAAUACAUAUAUUUAUAUUAUAUAUGCGUACUUAUCAUAUAUUAUACUUUUCUUCAAUAUAGUGUUUAUAAAACUAAAAUAUAUGACCAUGAGGCACAUAUGGCUAGAGACAUAAAUUUUGUGCACAAGAAGUAAACAGUUAAUGAUGUUUAGUAUUGUUGAGUUUCACUUUUGUAUUAUUUGCCCGUUUUGGCCAAAGGUUUAGGAGGCUGGAUAUUACCCUAAAAGAGAGUAGAAAUAAAAAUAAAAUGCAGAAUGCAGUGUAGCAGUGAAUUAAUGCAGCCCUAAAUUAUGCAUUUUCAAGAACCGUUGCAGCCUUAAAAGGGGUACGGAGUCGUGCUAGUUUAUGCAAACAUUCCAAUGAAACUUUCUUACAAACCAGUUCAAUGCAUGAUUAUUUACCAGGUAACACGUUAUGUUCCUUUAAUGAUUUGUUUUACAAAAACCAUGCUAGGCUGUAAAUUGUCAUUGAAUAAUUACAAAGAAAGUCUACUAUAAAAUAUAUUUGAAUAUAUAGAUUUAUAUGCUGUUUACCUUUUUCUUCUAUAUUUUGUUAAAAAAAAAAAUAAAUAUUGCAGAUCAAUAUCCCAGAAGACUAGCAAUAAUAAAACUGCUCAAAGUGCUUCAUGCCACAUUCAGAACACACAGUAGGAACUCAAUAAACACACAAACAUCCGUCAAAAAAUAAAUAAACCCUGAAAAAAUUCCAAGGGUUACUUCAGGCUCUAUGACCACUACUGCUUUUAGAAGUGGUUAUGGUGCAAUAAAUCUGUAUGUACAGCAUUUCAGCUUGAAACGCUGUACAUACAGAGAUAUCUACAUUUUUGUGCCAGGGGAUGUUACAUCUCUGUAAUUUGCAAAAAAACAAAACAAAAAACAAAACACAAAAAAAACACCCCUUGCACUCUGAGCCUGGGAGAAAGGUCCAAUCAAAGGCUUCUUUAAGAGAAACAUUUGAUUGGACCUUGGAGUGACAACUAGCAAAGAGCUCUUAAACUAGAGCUGGAUUCAAGCUUUAACUUAAAAAGAGAUUUUUUUUUUUUUUUUAAACUUGGGGUGGACAAUGUUAGUGUUAUUAAGAAAUAAAUAAUUUUUUUUUAAUUUUUUUUGCAAAAAAGGGUUAUAAAGCUGCACAAGUUGCAACAUACACAUAAGCAAUUGGUGAAAGAAAUCAAGUUAGCAAUUAGGAAGAGUUUCUUUUUAAUUAAACCUCGACACAAAUGAUGCUAACCAGUGGGUUAAGUCCUUAACGGACUUCGACCAUAAAAACAUGAUGGGUCAGCUUGGCACUUGCCACUCUCCUGGGUGCUGCCUAUAAGUCAUGUGGCCUGAUUUCUCGUGAUGUGUCCUAAAAAUGCAGCUUUGUUUUCCUACAGCUCCACCAUGAUUUCCUAAACAAAGGUUUAUUCAGCAUUGUGUGAAAUAUACUGCAGACUUGUAAAUCACAUUGAUUGAUGCAGCAUAUGAAUGCUACGUUGCUUUGUCCAACAGUUUGCAAGCAUUCUAAAAAGUGAACCUUGUUUAAACACCAACAUGAUAAGUUUUAAACGUUUAUCACUUGAAAAUACAAGCAAAAUUUGAUCUCUUAAAAGGGUUAAUCCAACAACCAUGACUACUUUGGUGAUUUGAAGUAAUCAUGGUGGUAGAAGUCUAGAUGUGCAGGGUUCCUGUUUGAAACGCUGCACAUUCAGAGAUAUUUGUAGUUGUGUGCCAGGGCUAGUUACAGCCUCAACAUACAUGACUUUGGCUAAUGUCAAUUCUGUGCAUAUUCGGUCGGUGGUCAGCGCAUUUCCCUCCAUUGGAUGUAUUAUUUUUUAAGAUAUGAAUUCCACUCUCCAUCUUAAAAUCCCUCCCUUUACUGGCUCAGAGUGUGUGCAUGCGCUCUGAGCUGGUGAAAUAGUCCAAAUCACAGUUUUCUCUAUGAGAAGCCUGUGAUUGGACUGCACAAAACUACCACUGACAUUGAACGGAGGAAGAAGAUCAGUGCAAGGACCUUCGCUCGCCUCUGUAUCACAGGUCAAUUUAAACUUUAGAUUUUUAAGUUGCAACUGGGGACCUAUAAGCAAUGCCCAAUGGGCAAGUAACAGUAAGGUGGGAGUAAGAAUUUUACUGCAAGCCUCAGAGUUAUCUUGUUUUAUUUACUUACAAAAAGGUCAGAGAAUACGAUUCUCUGUAUAACUUGUAUCUUCUAUAUUCUAACUCAUAUUGUCAAGAAUAAAAGAUCAGCUGUACAAAUGUUUUUGCCUCAUGUGUUAAUCACAGUAUAAAAAGUAAAAUGCACUUUGGCCAGUAAUAGAGCAUCUAAAGCAAGACUUAAUUCUUAGUCAUUAAAGUGGGUCUCUGUCACCAAAAAAUAAACUUUAUCGGUUUCUAUACAACUCCCAGAGUCUGAACCUGUUUUUAUUUAUUUCCUGAGUGCUCUAGUUUUCAAAAAAUACAUGAAUAAAAGGACUAGGUUUCCACAUGUACAGUUGUCAAUUAAAAAGGUACCCCAUAAUCGAUCAGUACAAUUAAUCCCACAGAAGGGAAACUGCACUAAUAAUGGACGAAGGAGAGCAAAAUGGCUGCACCCAGGUAUUGAGAUCCAGCACAAGAAAGAAAAGAUAGUAAACAAAGGCAAGUGGCAUGGAGGGGAGUAUAAUCCUCAACAUACAAGGCGGCACAAGGAAAGGAAAAAUCAAAAAAAAUAUUUGAAGAGUGCUGCCCUGUUAAAAAAAAAAAAAAUAAAUAAAAAAUUCUAGAUGUAAAAGUAUCCGCAAGAUAUAUGAAAAUAUUACUUAAAACAUUAAUAUUUUAAACAUUAGUAUCUCUAAAAAGUGGAAUCCCAGCUUAUUUACAGUAAGGCAUUCUGUCAGGAGGUAGAUGACUGUAGUUAAAAGCAGUCAUGGCCUGCUUUCUUUAUUCUGUUGUAUAUUGAAGGAGUUGAUCGACCUAUGAGUGGUUCAUGAUCAUGCUACUUUCUUAUCUUGAAUAUCACAGAUGGACCAAUCUGUACCUUGACUAUUAUCUCCCUUGUGUCAUUAUGGAUGGACUUUUACCAAUAUUUCUAACAAGCUAUUUAAGUUUUACUCAAUAUAAUAGUCUAUAAAAAGAAAAUAUCUUAUGUAAAAU
Molecule: non-coding RNA, 4466 nt
Organism: Pelobates cultripes (western spadefoot toad)
Lineage: Eukaryota; Metazoa; Chordata; Amphibia; Anura; Pelobatidae
Source: the annotation of a GenBank genome assembly